Molecule: ribosomal RNA, 478 nt
Filed under: Babesia canis canis
Lineage: Eukaryota; Apicomplexa; Aconoidasida; Piroplasmida; Babesiidae
Description: SSU rRNA
Rfam family: Eukaryotic small subunit ribosomal RNA
Source: RNAcentral
GGAAUGAUGGUGACCCAAACCCUCACCAGAGUAGCAAUUGGAGGGCAAGUCUGGUGCCAGCAGCCGCGGUAAUUCCAGCUCCAAUAGCGUAUAUUAAACUUGUUGCAGUUAAAAAGCUCGUAGUUGUAUUUUUGCGUUAGCGGUUUGACCAUUUGGUUGGUUAUUUCGUUUUCGCUUUUGGGAAUUUCCCUUUUUACUUUGAGAAAAUUAGAGUGUUUCAAGCAGACUUUUGUCUUGAAUACUUCAGCAUGGAAUAAUAGAGUAGGACUUUGGUUCUAUUUUGUUGGUUAUUGAACCUUAGUAAUGGUUAAUAGGAACGGUUGGGGGCAUUCGUAUUUAACUGUCAGAGGUGAAAUUCUUAGAUUUGUUAAAGACGAACUACUGCGAAAGCAUUUGCCAAGGACGUUUCCAUUAAUCAAGAACGAAAGUUAGGGGAUCGAAGACGAUCAGAUACCGUCGUAGUCCUAACCAUAAACUA